CAAGUGACAACAGGAUCUCUUGAAGCAUCAAUCGCCUUUCUGGAAAAGGAAGCUAAUAAUGUCUGCAGCCAGAGCACCAGCAAAGACAAAGGGGUGGAAAGGCAGACAUAUUCCAAGAGGCAAACACCUGUUCUGGGACCAGUUUACUUAGGCCUGACCAAGGAGGGCCAAAGAGGCCAGUGAGAGAUCAAUAUGAAAAUAAAGUCAACAACAACAACAACAAAAAAAGAAAGUCAACAUAGAGAAAACUAGCUGAGAUAUGGAUACGGCCAAGUUCAGGCAGCAGCUUUGCUUUGUUCUGC
Talpa occidentalis (Iberian mole) is the source of this 302-nucleotide long non-coding RNA. RefSeq lists it as uncharacterized. Lineage: Eukaryota; Metazoa; Chordata; Mammalia; Eulipotyphla; Talpidae. The record is from RefSeq and is a predicted model, not a curated record. The transcript is spliced from 3 exons.